AGACUUAGCCAUUGAACUCCAGAUGUGCCCAGGAUGAGACUUAGCCAUUGAACUCCAGAUGUGCUGACUCCUGUAAUUUCUUCAAAUGUGGGAAACUUGACUGUGUAAUUUGUGGUAGUGGGGGAC
RNAcentral lists this small nuclear RNA (126 nucleotides) under Otolemur garnettii (small-eared galago). RNAcentral describes it as "U1 spliceosomal RNA (ENSOGAG00000018737.1)". It matches the Rfam family "U1 spliceosomal RNA", at positions 33 to 145 of the family's 166-position model. Rfam says of the family: U1 is a small nuclear RNA (snRNA) component of the spliceosome (involved in pre-mRNA splicing). Its 5' end forms complementary base pairs with the 5' splice junction, thus defining the 5' donor site of an intron. The record is from RNAcentral. Lineage: Eukaryota; Metazoa; Chordata; Mammalia; Primates; Galagidae.